AUUGAACGCUGGCGGCAGGCUUAACACAUGCAAGUCGAGCGAGCGGCGGACGGGUGAGUAAUGUCUGGGAAACUGCCUGAUGGAGGGGGAUAACUACUGGAAACGGUAGCUAAUACCGCAUACCAUCAGAUGUGCCCAGAUGGGAUUAGCUCGUGGGUGGGGUAAUGGCUCACCUAGGCGACGAUCCCUAGCUGGUCUGAGAGGAUGACCCGCCACACUGGAACUGAGACACGGGCCAGACUCCUAAGGGAGGCAGGAGGGGGGAAUGUUGCAAAAUGGGCGCAAGCCUGAUGCAGCCAUGCCGGGUGUGUGAAGAAGGCCUUCGGGGUGGAAAGGACUUUCAGGGAGGAGGCGUUACUCGCAGAAGAAGCACCGGGUAACUCCGUGCCAGCCGCCGCGGUAAUUC
This 406-nucleotide ribosomal RNA is filed under the name uncultured bacterium. Its description in RNAcentral is "partial 16S ribosomal RNA". It matches the Rfam family "Bacterial small subunit ribosomal RNA", at positions 29 to 526 of the family's 1533-position model. The record is from RNAcentral.